Molecule: ribosomal RNA, 449 nt
Filed under: uncultured bacterium
Lineage: Bacteria
Description: partial 16S ribosomal RNA
Rfam family: Bacterial small subunit ribosomal RNA
Source: RNAcentral
AGCGAACGCUGGCGGCAGGCCUAACACAUGCAAGUCGAACGGACCCUUCGGGGUUAGUGGCGGACGGGUGAGUAACACGUGAGAACGUGCCUUUAGGUUCGGAAUAGCUCCUGGAAACGGGUGGUAAUGCCGAAUGUGCCCUUCGGGGGAAAGAUUUAUCGCCUUUAGAGCGGCCCGCGUCUGAUUAGCUAGUUGGUGAGGUAAUGGCUCACCAAGGCGACGAUCAGUAGCUGGUCUGAGAGGAUGACCAGCCACACUGGGACUGAGACACGGCCCAGACUCCUACGGGAGGCAGCAGUGGGGAAUCUUGCGCAAUGGGCGAAAGCCUGACGCAGCCGUGCCGCGUGAAUGAUGAAGGUCUUAGGAUUGUAAAAUUCUUUCACCGGGGACGAUAAUGACGGUACCCGGAGAAGAAGCCCCGGCUAACUUCGUGCCAGCAGCCGCAGUAA